Molecule: ribosomal RNA, 499 nt
Filed under: uncultured bacterium
Lineage: Bacteria
Description: bacterial SSU rRNA
Rfam family: Bacterial small subunit ribosomal RNA
Source: RNAcentral
UAGUCCACGCCGUAAACGAUGUCAACUAGCCGUCGGGCUCAUUUAAGGGUUUGGUGGCGCAGCUAACGCGCUAAGUUGACCGCCUGGGGAGUACGCCGGCAACGGUAAAACUCAAAGGAAUUGACGGGGGCCCGCACAAGCGGUGGAGCAUGUGGUUUAAUUCGAUGCAACGCGAAGAACCUUACCUACCCUUGACAUCCUCAGAACUUGUUAGAGAUAACUUGGUGCCUUCGGGAAUUGAGUGACAGGUGCUGCAUGGCUGUCGUCAGCACGUGUCGUGAGAUGUUGGGUUAAGUCCCGCAACGAGCGCAACCCACGUAUUUAGUUGCCAUCAUUCAGUUGGGCACUCUAGAUAGACUGCCGGGGACAACUCGGAGGAAGGUGUGGAUGACGUCAAGUCAGCAUGCCCCUUACAUCCUGGGCUACACACGUACUACAAUGCUAUGGACAAAGAGCUGCAAGCCAGCGAUGGCAAGCUAAAUCUCAUAAACCAUAGGCU